This 433-nucleotide ribosomal RNA is filed under the name uncultured bacterium. RNAcentral describes it as "partial 16S ribosomal RNA". It matches the Rfam family "Bacterial small subunit ribosomal RNA", at positions 29 to 507 of the family's 1533-position model. The record is from RNAcentral.
AACGAACGCUGGCGGCAGGCUUAACACAUGCAAGUCGAGCGCAUCCUUCGGGGUGAGCGGCAGACGGGUGAGUAACGCGUGGGAAUCUACCUUUUGCUACGGAAUAGCUCCGGGAAACUGGAAUUAAUACCGUAUGUGCCCUUAGGGGGAAAGAUUUAUCGGCAAGAGAUGAGCCCGCGUUGGAUUAGCUAGUUGGUGGGGUAAAGGCCUACCAAGGCGACGAUCCAUAGCUGGUCUGAGAGGAUGAUCAGCCACAUUGGGACUGAGACACGGCCCAAACUCCUACGGGAGGCAGCAGUGGGGAAUAUUGGACGAUGGGCGCAAGCCUGAUCCAGCCAUGCCGCGUGAGUGAUGAAGGCCUUAGGGUUGUAAAGCUCUUUCACCGGAGAAGAUAAUGACGGUAUCCGGAGAAGAAGCCCCGGCUAACUUCGUG